GCCACCUUAGCUCAGGGGUAGAGCAGCGCCCUCGUAAAGCGCAGGUCGCGGGUUCAAAUCCCGCAGGUGGCUCCA
This 75-nucleotide transfer RNA is filed under the name Leucobacter sp. OH2974_COT-288. Its description in RNAcentral is "tRNA-Thr". It matches the Rfam family "tRNA". From Rfam's summary of the family: Transfer RNA (tRNA) molecules are approximately 80 nucleotides in length. Their secondary structure includes four short double-helical elements and three loops (D, anti-codon, and T loops). The record is from RNAcentral. Lineage: Bacteria; Bacillati; Actinomycetota; Actinomycetes; Micrococcales; Microbacteriaceae.